This is a non-coding RNA of Cinara cedri, 223 nucleotides long. NCBI's taxonomy places the organism in Eukaryota, Metazoa, Arthropoda, Insecta, Hemiptera, Aphididae. The record is from the annotation of a GenBank genome assembly.
GGAAGUCAUAUUUUGAUUUUUCUUGUAUUUUUUAUUAUAAUUCGAGAAACCAGGAAAAAUGUGUAGAAACAACGGAUACGUCAAUAAAGUUUACGACAAUACAAGUUUCAUUAUUUCCAAUUUCGUUUUUAUACCAGAUCUUGCUCCAAAUUGUAUUUGUAGCUUCAAGUUAGUAAUCAAAUUAUCAAGUUAUUGCAAGGAACAAUCAUUUUACAAUGUAUUU